This 23-nucleotide microRNA is filed under the name Rattus norvegicus (Norway rat). RNAcentral's name for it is "Rno-Mir-190-P3_3p* (star (passenger))". The record is from RNAcentral. Lineage: Eukaryota; Metazoa; Chordata; Mammalia; Rodentia; Muridae.
ACUAAAUGUCAAACAUUCUCACA